Molecule: long non-coding RNA, 1288 nt
Organism: Mercenaria mercenaria
Lineage: Eukaryota; Metazoa; Mollusca; Bivalvia; Venerida; Veneridae
Exons: 3
Source: RefSeq, a predicted model, not a curated record
UUUGACUUAAACUUAUACAGUUUCUCGUCAUACAAAUACAAUUCAUAAUUAUAAAAAAUACAAAAAUAUACAGGUCAAAAUAAUAACUUAUAUAAAUUCUGAGGGUGGUCCUAAGCAUGAACUUCUUUCUAUCGUGUAUAAACUACAGUUUCUCGUCAUACCAAUACAAUUCGUAAUUAUAAUAUAUACAAAAAAUACAGAUCAAAAUCUAAGUAAUAAAUUAUAUAAAUUCUGCGGGUGGUCCUAAGAAUGAACUUCUUUCAAUCGUAUAUAAACUAACACAAAGAGAAAAACAAAAAAUAGUAGUCACAGUAGCUAAUACAAUUUAAGUAAUGUAGGCCUAUCAUUAUUAACAAGAUUCAUUGAUUAAAUAUUUUUACUACUAGAUCGUAUGCAGUAGCCAAUCGAAAUAUCUGUACUAAAUUUGUAUUACACAACUAUAGUAAUCAGUACCAUAUAAGGAAAUCCAAUAAUCAGGUCGUGCGCACCUGGUGUUUGAGUGGAGCGCAUGGGAUCAUAAACAAGCGGAUGUUUUGUUUGAAGGAAAAAUUGACUUAAAACUCAGGUAAGUAAUUGUGAGAGGUACAAAAUGUAAAUGUUUUAAAUUUUUAAAUUGUCUUUUUGUCUCACACUUUCAUAGAAAGUGAUAAAAUAUCAUUUUGCUUCCGUCUCACCAGGGUCGCGUGGUACAGUGCAACACGUGUUUAUAAUUAUGGUAACACAUAUGUCAAAUCCGUCAUACACUGUCACCAGAUUACCAAUAGAUGGACUAACUAUGCUCCAUUUAGAUGUACAUAUAUGACAGAUUAGAUUUACAUCCAUUAUUAUGAUUUAUAAUUAUAAUGUAUAUAUUUUUAUGUACAGUCAAAUUUCAUUAAAACAGUAAACACAUUUGUCCAUAAUGUCAUAAAAAGAAGAAAUAGAUCUAGCACAUUAAUAAUUUGUACAUGCUUUCUGUUACAGAAUAUGAUCUCCAGAGUUGUGUAUUUGACUGUUUACUGUAAAGAUGGAUAAUUAUACAAGAUCUUAAAUGGUUUAGAUCUACAAAGUUGGGAUGAUAAGUUUGUGCAGUAACGGAGUUGGCGAUCAAUUCUAUUCCGAGAAUACCGGUCAGUUUCAACACGUAGUUUAUGGGAUGACAGUCUUAACCUUGACAGAGCAAUUCGAUGUUUGACAGGCAAUAAAUUAAGCAAAUCUAAACUAUUCUGAAGGUCUUGUGGUGUUUUACCAAAGAUGACCAUAUCAUCUGCGAACAACAUCAGUAUAAAGGUAAUAUCAUCUAUCGUUA